GAUGAACGCUGGCGGCGUGCCUAAUACAUGCAAGUCGAGCGAACAGAUGAGGAGCUUGCUCCUCUGACGUUAGCGGCGGACGGGUGAGUAACACGUGGAUAACCUACCUAUAAGACUGGGAUAACUUCGGGAAACCGGAGCUAAUACCGGAUAAUAUAUUGAACCGCAUGGUUCAAUAGUGAAAGACGGUUUUGCUGUCAUUUAUAGAUGGAUCCGCGCCGCAUUAGCUAGUUGGUAAGGUAACGGCUUACCAAGGCAACGAUGCGUAGCCGACCUGAGAGGGUGAUCGGCCACACUGGAACUGAGACACGGUCCAGACUCCUACGGGAGGCAGCAGUAGGGAAUCUUCCGCAAUGGGCGAAAGCCUGACGGAGCAACGCCGCGUGAGUGAUGAAGGUCUUCGGAUCGUAAAACUCUGUUAUUAGGGAAGAACAAAUGUGUAAGUAACUAUGCACGUCUUGACGGUACCUAAUCAGAAAGCCACGGCUAACUACGUG
This 497-nucleotide ribosomal RNA is filed under the name uncultured bacterium. RNAcentral describes it as "partial 16S ribosomal RNA". It matches the Rfam family "Bacterial small subunit ribosomal RNA", at positions 28 to 507 of the family's 1533-position model. The record is from RNAcentral.